UCAAGCUAUUAAGAGCAUAGGGUGGAUGCCUUGGCACCAGGAGCCGAUGAAGGACGUGGCAAGCUGCGAUAAGCCACGGGUAGGCGCAAACAGCCGUUGAUCCGUGGAUUUCCGAAUGGGGGAACCCACCAGAGGUCAAUGCUCUGGUACCUGCACAUGAAUCCAUAGUGUGCAGGGGGGAUACGCAGGGAACUGAAACAUCUAAGUACCUGCAGGAAAAGAAAUCAACCGAGAUUCCGUAAGUAGUGGCGAGCGAACGCGGAAGAGCCCAAACCGUGGUAUAGCAAUAUACUGCGGGGUUAAGGACUGGCGUAAUGAUCCUGAGCGCAUAGCAGAAUGAGGCACUGGAACGUGCAGACCACAGAGGGUAAGAGUCCCGUAUGCGAAAUGUGCGAAGGCAGGCCAGGAUCCAGAGUACCACGAGGCACGAGGAACCUUGUGGGAAGUCGGGGGGACCACCCUCCAAGGCUAAAUACUACCUGGUGACCGAUAGUGGAGCAGUACCGUGAGGGAAAGGUGAAAAGAACCCCGGGAGGGGAGUGAAAGAGAACCUGAAACCCUAUGUUUACAAGCAGUUGGAGGGCGUUAAGGCCCGACAGCGUACUUUUUGUAGAACGGUCCGGCGAGUUAUUGUAUGUGGCGAGGUUAAGGGCUUAAGGUCCGGAGCCGCAGGGAAACCGAGUCUGAAGAGGGCGAAUAGUCACAUGCAAUAGACCCGAAACCGGGUGACCUAUCCAUGGACAGGCUGAAACGAGAGUAAAAUCUCGCGGAGGGCCGAACCCACCGGUGUUGAAAAACCGGGGGAUGAGCUGUGGAUAGCGGUGAAAUGCCAAUCGAACCCGGAGAUAGCUGGUUCUCCCCGAAAUAGCUUUAGGGCUAGCCUCAGGUAAAAGUCUGACGGAGGUAAAGCACUGACUGGGCUAGGGGCCUUACCGGGUUACCGAACCCUAUCAAACUCAGAAUGCCGUACAGAUGUUUCCUGGGAGUCAGACUACGAGAGAUAAGUUCCGUAGUCGAGAGGGAAACAGCCCAGACCAUCAGCUAAGGUCCCAAAAUCGCGGUUAAGUGGCGAAGGAUGUGGGCUUGCUAAGACAACUAGGAUGUUGGCUUAGAAGCAGCCAUUCAUUCAAAGAGUGCGUAAUAGCUCACUAGUCGAGUGAGCCUGCGCCGAAGAUUUCCGGGGCUAAACCGCGUACCGAAGCUGUGGAUGCACUUUAAGUGCAUGGUAGGGGAGCUUACUGCGAUAGGCUGAAGGUCGACCGAGAGGACGGCUGGACGAGGCAGUAGUGAGAAUGCCGGAAUGAGUAGCGAGAGUAAAGUGAGAAUCUUUACCGUCGAAAGCCUAAGGUUUCCUGGGGAAGGCUCGUCCGCCCAGGGUUAGUCGGGACCUAAGCCGAGGCCGAAAGGCGUAGGUGAUGGACAACAGGUUGAUAUUCCUGUACUGCCGUUACUCGUUUGAGAGAAGUGGGGACGCAGGGGGAAUAGCUAAGCGAGCGACUGGAAGAGCUCGUCCAAGGGAGAUAGAUAGUCCGGCAGGCAAAUCCGCCGGACGUUUCGAAGGCCCGACGGGGAGGGAAAUUAGAGUACCGAAGUAGCGAUUUCCGCACUGACGAGAAAAGCCACUAUCGAGAGUAAAGGCACCCGUACCGCAAACCGACACAGGUAGGUGAGGAGAGAAUCCUAAGACGAGCGGGAGAAGCGUUGUUAAGGAACUCGGCAAAUUGACCCCGUAAGUUCGCGAGAAGGGGUGCCUCAGAGAUGAGGCCGCAGUGAAACGGCCCAAGCAACUGUUUAGCAAAAACACAGGUCUCUGCUAAAUCGAAAGAUGACGUAUAGGGGCUGACGCCUGCCCGGUGCUGGAAGGUUACGGGGAACUGUUAGCCGCGAGGCGAAGCAGUGAACUUAAGCCCCAGUAAACGGCGGCCGUAACUAUAACGGUCCUAAGGUAGCGAAAUUCCUUGUCGGGUAAGUUCCGAC
This 1977-nucleotide ribosomal RNA is filed under the name anaerobic digester metagenome. Its description in RNAcentral is "bacterial LSU rRNA". It matches the Rfam family "Bacterial large subunit ribosomal RNA", at positions 3 to 1987 of the family's 2925-position model. The record is from RNAcentral.